UACGUAGGGGGCCCAGCGUUGCUCGGAAUCAUUGGGCGUAAAGCGCGCGUAGGUGGUUCAGCAAGUUGGAUGUGAAAGCCCUGGGCUCAACCUGGGAACUGCAUCCAAAACUACUGAGCUAGAGUACGGUAGAGGGUAGUGGAAUUUCCUGUGUAGCGGUGAAAUGCGUAGAUAUAGGAAGGAACACCAGUGGCGAAGGCGACUACCUGGACUGAUACUGACACUGAGGUGCGAAAGCGU
This 240-nucleotide ribosomal RNA is filed under the name uncultured bacterium. RNAcentral describes it as "partial 16S ribosomal RNA". It matches the Rfam family "Bacterial small subunit ribosomal RNA", at positions 524 to 762 of the family's 1533-position model. The record is from RNAcentral.